UAAAUUACCAUACGGACUUCUAGCCUCCCCUAACGAGAUGACAACGAGGCUCAUUUCCGAUGCGGAAUCGCCAUUGUGGCAUAAGAAAAGAGGAGAGAUUUCCAAGGUCAAAGAGGUGCUUUUCAUAAUCAAGAAAGCUUUUCAUAAAGACCAUAUAAAGGUUUGCACUCUUCCAAAACACUCGGCAUGCCUAUGUACUAUCAAUCUCGAGACUCCGACACCAUCCGCAAACUGAGCGCGGAGGUUGAACGCUUGCGGAUUCACUGCAAUCAGCCCCGUCUAAAACUGUCACAGACAAUACGAGAAAUGAUCCAGUAUUGCGAGCAGAAUAUGGCCUAUGACCAUCUAAUCCACCCUGAUAAGGAAAACCCCUUUAAGCCCAAAAAAAUGUGCACAAUUCUCUGAAAUUCAGCUUUUUUUGUUCAGUCUGAAAUAAAGGUUUUGAAAUAAAUAUAUGUAGAUGGAGGAGUUAGAUAUGAUACCCAAAGAGAAAUAGUACAAACAAAAAUCACAAAAUGAGGGGUGGUGAUGAAACACCAAUUUAGUUGCAGCCCUUGUUAAUAAAUGGAAAUGUAGGAAUGGUUUUUAUAGAAGGCUUGAUAUCAGACCUGCACGGCUAAUUUUUGUAUAUGUGUGCACAAUUCUAGGAACUGGAUUCAGUUACGAAGAAGGCAAAAUUUAGUUAAUCUUUUGUUAGAUAUGAACGCAUAUUUCAGAGGCAUGCAGUGUUUAGGAUACUAUUUUGUGUUUCAUUUUUAUGUGUUUUUAAAAUUAACAUUUUUCUGUUAAAAAUUUAGAUCUUUUACUGAUUUGUGAUCGUUGUCAGUUUGCCACCUGUUUCCCACUGAUUAAUUGCAUUUUU
This is a long non-coding RNA of Pomacea canaliculata, 862 nucleotides long. RefSeq lists it as uncharacterized. The transcript is spliced from 3 exons. NCBI's taxonomy places the organism in Eukaryota, Metazoa, Mollusca, Gastropoda, Architaenioglossa, Ampullariidae. The record is from RefSeq and is a predicted model, not a curated record.